Molecule: ribosomal RNA, 518 nt
Filed under: uncultured bacterium
Lineage: Bacteria
Description: bacterial SSU rRNA
Rfam family: Bacterial small subunit ribosomal RNA
Source: RNAcentral
CAGGCCUAACACAUGCAAGUCGAACGAGAAAUCGGGCACUCAGGCAACUGAGUGCCGGAGAGUAAAGUGGCGCACGGGUGAGUAACACGUGGGUAACCUACCCCCGAAUCCGGGAUAACCUCGCGAAAGCGUUGCUAAUACCGGAUAUUGUCCUUUUGGUUGUGACCUUUGGGAUGAAAGGCAACCUCUUCAUGAAAGUUGUUGUUCAGGGAUGGGCCCGCGUACCAUUAGCUUGUUGGUGGGGUAACGGCUCACCAAGGCUACGAUGGUUAGCUGGUCUGAGAGGAUGAUCAGCCACACUGGAACUGAAACACGGUCCAGACUCCUACGGGAGGCAGCAGUGAGGAAUUUUGCGCAAUGGGGGAAACCCUGACGCAGCAACGCCGCGUGAGUGAAGAAGGCUUUCGGGUCGUAAAGCUCUGUCAAGUGGGAAAAAAGUCUGAUGAUUAAUAGUUGUCAGAUCUGAUGGUACCACUGGAGGAAGCACCGGCUAACUCCGUGCCAGCAGCCGCGGUAAU